AACUUAUCGAGAGUGACCGAGGGAUCAGGCCCUAUGACGUCCGGCAACCUCCUUAUUAAGAAAAGGUGCCACUUCCUGCAGAAUGAAAUCAUUCUGAUAGAUAAGUC
RNAcentral lists this non-coding RNA (107 nucleotides) under Bacillus sp. (in: firmicutes). RNAcentral describes it as "Bacillus sp. SAM-I sequence". It matches the Rfam family "SAM riboswitch aptamer (S box leader)". Rfam says of the family: The SAM riboswitch is found upstream of a number of genes which code for proteins involved in methionine or cysteine biosynthesis in Gram-positive bacteria. The SAM riboswitch acts at the level of transcription termination control. The predicted structure consists of a complex stem-loop region followed by a single stem loop terminator region. The record is from RNAcentral. Lineage: Bacteria; Bacillati; Bacillota; Bacilli; Caryophanales; Bacillaceae.